This 433-nucleotide ribosomal RNA is filed under the name uncultured bacterium. RNAcentral describes it as "partial 16S ribosomal RNA". It matches the Rfam family "Bacterial small subunit ribosomal RNA", at positions 29 to 507 of the family's 1533-position model. The record is from RNAcentral.
AACGAACGCUGGCGGCAUGCCUAACACAUGCAAGUCGAACGAGACCUUCGGGUCUAGUGGCGCACGGGUGCGUAACGCGUGGGAACCUGCCCUUAGGUUCGGAAUAACUCCCCGAAAGGGGUGCUAAUACCGGAUAAUGUCUUCGGACCAAAGAUUUAUCGCCUUUGGAUGGGCCCGCGUUGGAUUAGCUAGUUGGUAGGGUAAAAGCCUACCAAGGCGACGAUCCAUAGCUGGUCUGAGAGGAUGAUCAGCCACACUGGGACUGAGACACGGCCCAGACUCCUACGGGAAGCAGCAGUGGGGAAUAUUGGACAAUGGGCGUAAGCCUGAUCCAGCAAUGCCGCGUGAGUGAUGAAGGCCUUAGGGUUGUAAAGCUCUUUUACCCGGGAUGAUAAUGACAGUACCGGGAGAAUAAGCUCCGGCUAACUCCGUG